Molecule: long non-coding RNA, 816 nt
Organism: Diabrotica virgifera virgifera (western corn rootworm)
Lineage: Eukaryota; Metazoa; Arthropoda; Insecta; Coleoptera; Chrysomelidae
Exons: 2
Source: RefSeq, a predicted model, not a curated record
UCUCCUAGCUGUCAAAUAUUGAUAAAGAAUAGUAUAUAAUGUCGUUUUUAAACAUAUAAUUCGAAAGUUGUGUGUACUAAUUAUGUGAUUAAAUUCAAACCUAUAUAAAUAGCAUUCGCUCUUUUUGAAAAAUACCCGCUGAAAUUGUUCAACUACUAGUUCAAAUACGAUUGGUCGGCAUUCGAGGUGUCAUUCAACUAUGCUUGGUAUUACUGGCGGUAAAUUUAAACUUUAAUUAAUGACUGAUUCGAUUAUUUCAUUCAGCAAAAAGGUUAGAGUAUGCAAAAAUUCAGUUUAAAGUCAGUCUAAAAUGAGAUACGCGGUCUUCAUACUGGGCCCUUGAUAUGUGAAGACCAUCCAUACGAAUCAGAAGAACAAUGCGACUUGAGGUCAGGUAGAUCCACAAUAGACAUUUUCUGUAUAACCAAGUAAUUAAAGAAAGGCUCUGAGUCCAAGAGGUGCAUUUACUUAUGGUAGAAUCUAACGAAGGCAUAUGGCAGGGUAUCUAUUAAUAGACUAGACUUUGAGAAGUAUUAGAAAAAACCAGCAUAAAUGUAUCACAGAGGCACUGAAAGAACUUUAUAAAAACUCGAUAACUAAAAUUAAAAUUGGAAAUAGAAUAUCAAAAGGUUUCGUGGUCCCUAAAACACUAAGGCAAGGAUGCUAUGUAUCACCAGUAUUAUUCAAUACAUUUUUAUACAGGGUGUUUGGUAAAGAAUGGGCCAUAUAUUCCUGAGGUUAAAAUAGGUCGAUUUAAGCUAACUUACCUUAGUACAGAAGUUGAUAAUAACCGAAAUACAGGGUAUCAAAGUUAAA